This 2716-nucleotide long non-coding RNA is filed under the name Canis lupus familiaris (dog). RNAcentral describes it as "lncRNA (ENSCAFG00040011672.1)". The record is from RNAcentral. Lineage: Eukaryota; Metazoa; Chordata; Mammalia; Carnivora; Canidae.
GAAAGAAUAACUUGCACAAGAUUUCCAGAUCCAGAAAGGCAGAGCUGGAAGGAGGGAGUUCAGGCCAGGGACUCCUGAGUGUCUGCAGAGCACACACUUUUGCACCGCGCUCUCCUGGCCUUCCCACACCAAAUAAUAAAACUCGGCCCUACCCCCAUGCUGCUUUAAGUGUCAGCAAGAGGACCGAGUGGACACAACAUCCAACAGUGCAAGAUUCAAUGUCACUUGUUCAGCCCCCAUACCCAUUUCGUGCCCCCGUACCCAUGUCAUUCUGGGCACCACGUGAGGUGUAGGGACAUGGAAAUGACUCACACACAGGAUGCAGGAGGAGCUACGUGGAAAAGGAAAUGAUUAAUCAUGCCUGGUUUGGGCUCAGCGUUGACUCGUUUAUCAGUCUGGUUUUUAAGGGAUGGGUGAUGCUAGUGAGAAAAUGCAGUUCAGCAACCCCCCUUCCCGCAGACGUGCAGGGCCUCAGAGUCCCAGCUACACAGCAAUCAGAAGUCAAGGAGAGAAAGUUCCAAUAAAAGGAUCCUUAUUGCUCAGAACACUUCUAUGGCCCCUCCUUACCCAAGGAGUCAUUGACCAUCCCCUGCUUGAGCAGGUAAGUGUAGGAUGUGAAAUUAAAGGACCCAGGUUCAAGUCCUGCCCUUGCACUUGCUAGCUAUUCAACACUACUCAAAUUGACUCACUUCUCUCUCUUUCUAAAUUCUUUUUUUUUUUCAGAUUGUAUUUAUUUAUUCACGAGAGACACACAGAGAGAGGCAGAGACAUAGGCAGAGGGAGAAGCAGGUUCCCUGCCGGGAGCCCGAUGUGAGACUCGAUCCUGGGCCAAAGGCCGACCCUCAACCACUGAGCCACCCAGGAGCCCCUCUCUUUCUCAAUUCUUGUCUGCAAAACGGGAAAUACUUCCUGCCUUUUCUCCUUCUUGGGUUGCUGAGAGAAGAUGGAGAACACUCUUCACAGAUGAUCUUCAGUGUCAGGAGCACUGACUUUCAAGAGCCUUCACCAUCCAAGCCUGACUUCCCUCUCCAGACACAAAUCAUCAUUAUUCUGGCCCCACCCAGCUACCUGACACUUCCCGGACUUCAUCCUGUACAUGCAUGUCUUGGUGCUUUCACUUAAAAAUCUAUGCUCUUUGGGAUCCCUGGGUGGCGCAGCGGUUUAGCGCCUGCCUUUGGCCCAGGGUGCGAUCCUGGAGACCCGGGAUCGAAUCCCACAUCGGUCUCCCGGUGCAUGGAGCCUGCUUCUCCCUCUGCCUGUGUCUCUGCCUCUCUCUCUCUCUCUCUCUCUCUCUCUCUGUGACUAUCAUAAAUAAAUAAAAAUUAAAAAAAAAAUCUAUGCUCUUUCUUGAGAAGGCUCAUUUCCCGACCAUCUUCAUCUGUCCAGAUCCUGCCCAUCCAGGAAGGCUUCUUCCUCCAUGAUGUCUCUGCCACUCACCUCCCAGCCCCACAUCCCCAGGACUAACUGCAUCUUUGACAUCUGUGUUAUGCUGGGAAUGUCUCCCUCCCUGCACUCCAAGCUCCUUUCCUGGAUCCGGAUGGCUAAUCCCAACCUCGCACCACACUCUGGUACAGCCUAGGCCCUGUGCCAGGCAAUGGGGCUUUGGAGAGGAGAGAGACUCCAUCUCUACCAUAAAGAGGAGCACAAUCCAGUGGCAUCUGAGGUACCAAAGAGCACUUGGUAACUGAUUUACAGACUAGGGGGGCUAUAUUCAUGUAUUAAUUAUCUACUGCUGCAUAACAAAAUUACCCCCGAAAUUUAGCAGCUUAAGACAACAAACAUUUAUUAUCUCAGUUUCUAUGGUUCAGGAAGCCAAGAAUGGCAUGGCUAGGUCAUUCUGGCUCAAGGUCUCUUGUGAGGUUGCAAAUAAGAUGUCAGCUGGGCCUGUGGACAUCUAAAAGCUUGACUUGCCCUGGAGGGUCUGCUUCUGAGACAGUUCACACAUAUGGCUGUUGGCAGAAGGCCUUCGUUCCUCGCGGGCUGCUGGCAGGAAGCCUCAGUUUCCAGCCAUGUGGGACUCUCCAAAGGGCUGCUUGAUGUCUUCAUGACAUGUCAACUAACUUCCCCAGAGCGAGUGAUUCGAGAGAGAGAGAGAGAGAGAGAGAGCAAGGAGAAACCUACAGUAUCUUUUAGGAUCUAAUCUUGGAAAUGACACCGUCAAUUCUGCUGUAUUCUUUUUGUCAGAAGUGACUCACUGUGUCCAGCCCACAUUCAAGGGGAGGGAAAUUUAAGGAAGCAUAUCAAAAACUUUGGGACGUUUGGGGAAACCACGACAAUGAACUGGGUUUCUCGCUUCCAAUUUUGGCUCCACCACACACACCUCGUGACCUCCGCCAACCUCCUGGGCCUCAGUUUCCUUCUUUGUCAAAAAGGACAAUAACUUCUACUCUGCCUAAUUUAUUCAUUCGGCAAAUAUUUAGGUCCCUUCUAUGUGCCAAGUACUGUUCUGAUGCCUCAGAAAUACUGUGUAAAACGAGAAAAUUAAGAGCUCUGCUUUCGGGAGCCGAACUGCUAGUGGGGAGACAUUCUUUCGAAUAAAGCCAAGGGCUGGUAAAGGCUAAGAAGCGAAGCAGAACAGAGAGGGGGAUAGAGAGGGACAGAGGGUGACCAGGGAAGGUCACUAAGAGGGGCUGACUUUGAGAUGGAGAUCUGAACAAAGUGAAGGAGUGACUCGUGUGGCCGUCUCAGGGAAAAGCAUUCCAGGCAGAAGGAACAG